UAAACUAGGAUUAGAUACCCUAUUAUUAUAAAUGUAAAUUUUAGAGUACUAAAUUAGUAAUAGUUAUUUUCUUGAAAAUUAAAAAAUUUGGCGGUAUUUUAGUCUUUUCAGAGGAACCUGUCCUGUAAUUGAUAGUCCACGAUUAUAUAUACUUUAAUUUUAAGUUUACAUAUCGUUGUAGGUUGAAUAUUUUAAUAGAAUUUUAAUAUUCAGAAUUUUUUAUUAAAAAAUAAAUCAGAUCAAGGUGUAGUUUAUAUUAAAGAAGAGGUGGGUUACAUUAAAAUUAUUUAAGGAUAAUUUUUUUAAAAGAAAUUUGAAUUUGGAUUUGAUAGUAAUUUUAAUAUAUUUAUUUUAAAUGAUUAAAGCUCUAAAAUAUGUACACAUCGCCCGUCGCUCUUAA
RNAcentral lists this ribosomal RNA (400 nucleotides) under Bruchidius sp. KE05. Its description in RNAcentral is "partial 12S small subunit ribosomal RNA". The record is from RNAcentral. Lineage: Eukaryota; Metazoa; Arthropoda; Insecta; Coleoptera; Chrysomelidae.